RNAcentral lists this unclassified non-coding RNA (366 nucleotides) under soil metagenome. Its description in RNAcentral is "partial contains 5.8S ribosomal RNA, internal transcribed spacer 2, and large subunit ribosomal RNA". The stretch from base 1 to 120 matches the Rfam family "5.8S ribosomal RNA", at positions 35 to 154 of the family's 154-position model. The record is from RNAcentral.
GAUGAAGAACGUAGCGAAAUGCGAUAAGUAAUGUGAAUUGCAGAAUUCCGUGAAUCAUCGAGUCUUUGAACGCACAUUGCGCCCCCUGGUAUUCCGGGGGGCAUGCCUGUCCGAGCGUCAUUACAACCCUCAAGCCCGGCUUGUGUAAUGGGCGGCCGUCUCUCCCCCCGGGGGGAGACGCCCCCGAAACUCAGUGGGGAUGUCGCGAUACCGAAGCCUCAGCUAAUGGGUAAACCACAGCUGCAAUGGCCGCGGCCGGCGUCCGCCUUCCACGGUCCGUCCGCCUAGCGCGGGCGGCCUUCUCAAGGUUGACCUCGGAUCAGGUAGGGAUACCCGCUGAACUUAAGCAUAUCAAUAAGCGGAGGA